CGUUGUUGCUGUGCUGAGUUCCCAGUUUAGUGUAGGCUUUGUUUUGUUUGAUUUGGAAUUUUGAGUCUUCUCUGCUUGGGUUCUGAUUAGCUGAGUUGUAGUUGUGUUUGUUCGAUUAUUCCGAGUCUCUGUUGCUUGUUUUCUUCCGAGUUGCUUUUGUUUUAUUAAAUCUGUUUGCGAUGAGUCUGAUUUGCAGCACUAAGUCGAGUAGGCGCGUUGGUAGUUUGUGGUUUUCUGAGUUAGUUUUGGAUUAAGUGAGGCUGCCUUGUUGAUUUGUUUUUCUUUAUUUUACAUAUUUGUCUCCGCUAAGUCUAAAAGUUGAGUCAUUUAGCGUGUGUGUUCUUUCGAGUGUUGGCGAUUUCCCUUGCACAUCCAGCCAAUGCUACUGUAUUUUAGUUAUGUUGAUAGUUAAAAUUGUUGAAUUGAUUUUGUUUGGCUUGUUGACUAAAUAAAUGAUUCUUGGCAAAUUUUUCUUUGAUUUAGUUUAAGACUUUUUCUGGACAUUCGGUUUAAUUUAGUAAGAUUAGAUAAGUGAUAAUUAAUUAGUUUAAGCAAUUUUCUUUUUAGAGACAUAUUUAAAUUUAGGUUUAAGAAAAACUUCUCUCUAUAAAAUAUUGUUCUAAUUCGCCUAGGUUAAAGAUUUAAGGAUUGCGAAAAAUAAUUUUAAUCUCUGUGGACGAAUCUUAAAUAUUAAAACGGUGAUCGUGCGCUUGCGAUUUAAAAGUAAUAUUUCUAGCACAUCAAGUUUUUGGCGCCGCUGCCGGGGAUUAAAAUUAAUUUUUCGC
RNAcentral lists this long non-coding RNA (785 nucleotides) under Daucus carota (carrot). RNAcentral describes it as "long non-coding RNA (DCAR_LNC007562)". Lineage: Eukaryota; Viridiplantae; Streptophyta; Magnoliopsida; Apiales; Apiaceae. The record is from RNAcentral.